This is a long non-coding RNA of Melopsittacus undulatus (budgerigar), 1010 nucleotides long. RefSeq lists it as uncharacterized. The record is from RefSeq and is a predicted model, not a curated record. The transcript is spliced from 6 exons. Lineage: Eukaryota; Metazoa; Chordata; Aves; Psittaciformes; Psittaculidae.
CCUAGUGCGCGUGCGUAAUGGCGGCUCCGUACGGCGGCUCUGUACGGCGCCUGCGUACGGCGGUUGCGUUCGCUGAGGCGGUGUGGUUGAGCGGAGCAUGCGCAGGUGUCCCGUCCGAGCUGAAGCGGUCGGUAUGGCUGCCAGUGCCAAGUCGUUCCUGUCCGAUGCGGGCUAUGGGGAGCAGGAGCUGGACGCGAACUCUGCUCUCAUGGAAGUCGACAAAGGUCUCAGGUAUGGGAAGCUCGGAGAGCAGUGCGAAGCCGUCGUUCGUUUUCCCAGGCUCUUCCAGAAAUACCCGUUCCCCAUUCUCAUUAAUUCAGCUUUCCUAAAGUUGGCUGAUGUGUUCUGAGUCGGAAACAACUUCCUGAGGCUCUGUGUGCUGAAAGUUACUCAGCAGAGUGAGAAGCACUUAAGAGAAGAUCCUAAAUGUGGAUGAGUUCGUCAAAAGAGUCUUCUCCGUCAUUCACAGCAAUGAUCCAGUUGCUCGGGCCAUUACCCUUCGGAUGUUGGGCAGCAUAGCGUCUGUCAUUCCAGAAAGGAAGAAUGCACAUCACAGUAUUCGUCAAAGUUUGGAUUCCCAUGAUAAUGUGGAAGUUGAGGCUGCAAUAUUUGCUGCUGCCAAUUUUUCUGCACAAUCAAAGGAUUUUGCUGCUGGCAUAUGUAAUAAAAUCAGCGAGAUGAUACAAGGUUUGGCCACACCUGUGGACUUAUUGAAGUUGAUCCCUAUUCUACAGCACAUGCAUCAUGAUGCUAGCCUAGCCUCCAGCUCCCGGCAGCUGCUCCAGCAGCUGGUAACAUCAUAUCCCUCCACCAAGAUGGUCAUUGUUACUCUGCACACCUUUACUCUGCUUGCUGCUUCUUCUUUGGUUGACAUUCCUAAGCAGGUAAUUCUUCCUAAUUAUGUCUUUCAACUUAAAGCACAUUUAAAAGACCUCAGAUUCUAGCUGAUGCUGAAAAAUAAAUGCACAGAUAUGCUGGGAUGGUUGCUUCUAUGUGCUAUAGAGAAAGAA